UACGUAGGUGGCAAGCGUUAUCCGGAAUUAUUGGGCGUAAAGCGCGCGCAGGCGGUUUCUUAAGUCUGAUGUGAAAGCCCACGGCUCAACCGUGGAGGGUCAUUGGAAACUGGGGAACUUGAGUGCAGAAGAGAAAAGCGGAAUUCCACGUGUAGCGGUGAAAUGCGUAGAGAUCGGGAGGAACACCGGCGGCGAAGGCGGCUGCCUGGACCAGUCCUGACGCUGAGGCGCGAAAGCUAGGGGAGCAAACAGG
This 253-nucleotide ribosomal RNA is filed under the name uncultured bacterium. Its description in RNAcentral is "partial 16S ribosomal RNA". It matches the Rfam family "Bacterial small subunit ribosomal RNA", at positions 524 to 776 of the family's 1533-position model. The record is from RNAcentral.